UGGCGGAUCCAGAGGGGGGCGUAGAGGGCGUACGCCCCCUCUUUGCUCGGACUUUCUUCUUUUUUUGUAAAAUAAUUAAUAAGACUAGACUUCGUCAGUGGCGGAUCCAGAGGGGGGCGUAGAGGGCGUACGCCCCCCCCCCCCCUUUGCUCGGACUUUCUUCUUUUUUUUGUAAAAUAAUUAAUAAGACUAGACUUCGUGAACUUUGCCAUUUCCCGUGUACUACUAUUUAUUUUUUAUGCGACAAUUCUUGACUUAUAAAUAAAGAUAUUUUUCGCUGGAAUUUACUGAUUAUCAAAGUCAUGUGAUUCGCUAUGGUGGAAUUGACCUGCAGUGUGUCGAAUAAAACAUCUCUCAGUCAUUUUGAAAUUCAAAUUACAGUAACACAUUGCGUAGGCUGAGGAUGACAAUCAUGACACCUUCAAAGCGACACAGGAUUUAGCAAGAACAUAUUGACUUCUAUUUCACUAUAAUAUUCCACCAAACAGAAAGUAAUGCUCUAUAUAUAGACUAUUACACUUUCAUGAAAAAAAAGUUCUACAGCAAUAUUAUCUAACUACGGAAACAUGUUUAACCCCAAACGCCCCAGCUUAUUUAAAAAAUAUAUCGCUGAAUAAUGAUCCCCAGUCAUUAUAAGCUCUAUGUGUAGAUUUAAGUCGUAAGUACGAACCAUUUGAAUUGAGGAGACAGUCUUAGAUAUUUGAGAGAAAAAAAAAAUGAUUGAUUUUUGCCUUAAACAAAAAUUUCCGGUCGUAUUUCAAAUUCAAUCGAAUAGCCCAGCGUAUAUCUUGUUUACAACAAGAAAUCUGUGAGCGGGUUAUUCUAACUUAACUUACAACAUACGUGCGAGAAUUUUCAAUGUCUAUGUUUUACUGACAAAUCCCACAUUAAAUGUAUCAGUACAUAGCUUUGGAUCCAUACUAUCAUUUUAUGAUAGACACUUAAUAGGAGAAUACAGCAUCGAAGAUGUCCAACCCUUACACCUUAUAACAGCAACUACAAAAUAUGUAUGCCCCACGCCAGGAACCGUUUAAAAAGUGCAUAUUUCACUUAUUUUAUGAUUUUAGUCCUAAAAAGGCCCAAAAAUUUGUUUGCCUCGCUCCGCUCGGCAAAACUAAAAAC
Molecule: long non-coding RNA, 1122 nt
Filed under: Mytilus galloprovincialis (Mediterranean mussel)
Lineage: Eukaryota; Metazoa; Mollusca; Bivalvia; Mytilida; Mytilidae
Source: RNAcentral